This 427-nucleotide ribosomal RNA is filed under the name uncultured bacterium. Its description in RNAcentral is "partial 16S ribosomal RNA". It matches the Rfam family "Bacterial small subunit ribosomal RNA", at positions 355 to 774 of the family's 1533-position model. The record is from RNAcentral.
UGGGGAAUCUUGCGCAAUGGACGAAAGUCUGACGCAGCCACGCCGCGUGAGUGAAGAAGGCCUUUGGGUUGUAAAGCUCUGUUGGAUGGGAAGAAAAGUUUGGAGUGAAUAGCUUCAAACCUUGACGGUACCAUCAGAGGAAGCACCGGCUAACUCCGUGCCAGCAGCCGCGGUAAUACGGAGGGUGCAAGCGUUGCUCGGAAUUAUUGGGCGUAAAGGGUAGGUAGGUGGUCUUAUUUGUCUUGGGUGAAAGCCUUAAGCUUAACUUAAGAAGUGCCCAAGAAACGGUAGGACUAGAGUUCUAGAGAGGGUCGUGGAAUUCCCGGUGUAGCGGUGAAAUGCGUAGAGAUCGGGAGGAACACCAGAGGCGAAGGCGGCGACCUGGCUAGAAACUGACACUCAACUACGAAAGCGUGGGGAGCAAACA